Molecule: small RNA, 291 nt
Filed under: human gut metagenome
Description: 5' ureB small RNA
Rfam family: 5' ureB small RNA
Source: RNAcentral
GCCUGCUGCGGGCAAAUCAUAUGGACAUGGCCGUCGAUACCGGCGGCUGUCAGAAUCAGAUGCUCGCCCGAGAUGGCGUCGGUCGAUGGACCUGUACACAGGGUCGGAGUCACCCCUUCCAUAAUAUUGGGGUUACCGGCUUUACCGAUACCUGCGAUUUUGCCAUCCUUUACGCCGACAUCAGCCUUGAUGACACCCAGCAGGGGGUCCAGGAUGGUGACAUUGGUGAUCACCAGGUCAAGCGAACCAGCCUCCGAGGUUAUCUCGUUGGCUGUCCCCAUGCCGUCACGC